This 482-nucleotide ribosomal RNA is filed under the name uncultured bacterium. Its description in RNAcentral is "partial 16S ribosomal RNA". It matches the Rfam family "Bacterial small subunit ribosomal RNA", at positions 28 to 507 of the family's 1533-position model. The record is from RNAcentral.
GACGAACGCUGGCGGCGUGCCUAACACAUGCCAGUCGAACGGAACCGUUUUGAAAGAUUUCUUCGGAAUGAAUUUGAUUUAGUUUAGUGGCGGACGGGUGAGUAACGCGUGAGUAACCUGCCUUCAAGAGGGGAAUAACAUUCUGAAAAGAAUGCUAAUACCGCAUGACAUAUCGGAACCACAUGGUUUUGAUAUCAAAGAUUUUAUCGCUUGAAGAUGGACUCGCGUCCGAUUAGUUAGUUGGUGAGGUAACGGCUCACCAAGACCGCGAUCGGUAGCCGGACUGAGAGGUUGAACGGCCACAUUGGGACUGAGACACGGCCCAGACUCCUACGGGAGGCAGCAGUGGGGGAUAUUGCGCAAUGGGGGCAACCCUGACGCAGCAACGCCGCGUGAAGGAUGAAGGUUUUCGGAUUGUAAACUUCUUUUAUUAAGGACGAAAAAUGACGGUACUUAAUGAAUAAGCUCCGGCUAACUACGUG